GCGGGUGUAGCUCAGUUGGUUAGAGCGCGGGCUUGUGGUGCCUGAGGUCGUGGGUUCGAUUCCCAUCACUCGCCCCA
This 77-nucleotide transfer RNA is filed under the name Rhodospirillaceae bacterium. Its description in RNAcentral is "tRNA-His". It matches the Rfam family "tRNA". Rfam says of the family: Transfer RNA (tRNA) molecules are approximately 80 nucleotides in length. Their secondary structure includes four short double-helical elements and three loops (D, anti-codon, and T loops). Lineage: Bacteria; Pseudomonadati; Pseudomonadota; Alphaproteobacteria; Rhodospirillales; Rhodospirillaceae. The record is from RNAcentral.